RNAcentral lists this transfer RNA (72 nucleotides) under Rhipicephalus sanguineus (brown dog tick). RNAcentral describes it as "transfer RNA proline (anticodon CGG)". It matches the Rfam family "tRNA". From Rfam's summary of the family: Transfer RNA (tRNA) molecules are approximately 80 nucleotides in length. Their secondary structure includes four short double-helical elements and three loops (D, anti-codon, and T loops). Further hydrogen bonds mediate the characteristic L-shaped molecular structure. tRNAs have two regions of fundamental functional importance: the anti-codon, which is responsible for specific mRNA codon recognition, and the 3' end, to which the tRNAs corresponding amino acid is attached (by aminoacyl-tRNA synthetases). tRNAs cope with the degeneracy of the genetic code in two manners: having more than one tRNA (with a specific anti-codon) for a particular amino acid; and 'wobble' base-pairing, i.e. permitting non-standard base-pairing at the 3rd anti-codon position. The record is from Rfam by way of RNAcentral. Lineage: Eukaryota; Metazoa; Arthropoda; Arachnida; Ixodida; Ixodidae.
GCCGCCGUAGCUCAGUGGUAGAUCAUCAGACUCGGCAUUCGAAGGUCGCAGGUUCGGUACCUGCCGGCGGCA